CCUACGGGUGGCAGCAGUGAGGAAUAUUGGUCAAUGGGCGGAAGCCUGAACCAGCCAAGUAGCGUGCAGGAUGACGGCCCUACGGGUUGUAAACUGCUUUUAUACGGGAAUAACGCGCCUUACGUGUAGGUCUUUGCAUGUACCGUAUGAACAAGCACCGGCUAAUUCCGUGCCAGCAGCCGCGGUAAUACGGAGGGUCCGGGCGUUAUCCGGAUUUAUUGGGUUUAAAGGGAGCGUAGGCCGCAUGUCAAGUGUGCUGUGAAAAGCCCGGGCUCAACCCGGGCCUUGCAGCGGAAACUGGCGGGCUUGAGUCCGCGGAAGGCAGGCGGAAUUCGUCGUGUAGCGGUGAAAUGCUUAGAUAUGACGAAGAACCCCGAUUGCGAAGGCAGCUUGCUGCAGCGGAACUGACGCUGAUGCUCGAAAGCGCGGGUAUCGAACAGGAUUAGAUACCCGAGUAGUC
This 460-nucleotide ribosomal RNA is filed under the name uncultured bacterium. RNAcentral's name for it is "partial 16S ribosomal RNA". It matches the Rfam family "Bacterial small subunit ribosomal RNA", at positions 338 to 795 of the family's 1533-position model. The record is from RNAcentral.